GGCGUCAUAGUGUAGGGGCUAACAUCUCUGAUUUUCGCUCAGAAGACGAGGGUUCGACUCCCUCUGGCGCUACUA
RNAcentral lists this transfer RNA (75 nucleotides) under Verrucomicrobia bacterium LW23. RNAcentral's name for it is "tRNA-Glu". It matches the Rfam family "tRNA". From Rfam's summary of the family: Transfer RNA (tRNA) molecules are approximately 80 nucleotides in length. Their secondary structure includes four short double-helical elements and three loops (D, anti-codon, and T loops). Further hydrogen bonds mediate the characteristic L-shaped molecular structure. tRNAs have two regions of fundamental functional importance: the anti-codon, which is responsible for specific mRNA codon recognition, and the 3' end, to which the tRNAs corresponding amino acid is attached (by aminoacyl-tRNA synthetases). tRNAs cope with the degeneracy of the genetic code in two manners: having more than one tRNA (with a specific anti-codon) for a particular amino acid; and 'wobble' base-pairing, i.e. permitting non-standard base-pairing at the 3rd anti-codon position. Lineage: Bacteria; Pseudomonadati; Verrucomicrobiota. The record is from RNAcentral.